Molecule: ribosomal RNA, 501 nt
Filed under: PAH-contaminated sludge bacterium PB-21
Lineage: Bacteria; Bacillati; Bacillota; Bacilli; Caryophanales; Bacillaceae
Description: bacterial SSU rRNA
Rfam family: Bacterial small subunit ribosomal RNA
Source: RNAcentral
CGUGCCUAAUACAUGCAAGUCGAGCGGACAGAUGGGAGCUUGCUCCCUGAUGUUAGCGGCGGACGGGUGAGUAACACGUGGGUAACCUGCCUGUAAGACUGGGAUAACUCCGGGAAACCGGGGCUAAUACCGGAUGCUUGUUUGAACCGCAUGGUUCAAACAUAAAAGGUGGCUUCGGCUACCACUUACAGAUGGACCCGCGGCGCAUUAGCUAGUUGGUGAGGUAACGGCUCACCAAGGCAACGAUGCGUAGCCGACCUGAGAGGGUGAUCGGCCACACUGGGACUGAGACACGGCCCAGACUCCUACGGGAGGCAGCAGUAGGGAAUCUUCCGCAAUGGACGAAAGUCUGACGGAGCAACGCCGCGUGAGUGAUGAAGGUUUUCGGAUCGUAAAGCUCUGUUGUUAGGGAAGAACAAGUACCGUUCGAAUAGGGCGGUACCUUGACGGUACCUAACCAGAAAGCCACGGCUAACUACGUGCCAGCAGCCGCGGUAAUAC